UACGUAGGGUGCAAGCGUUAAUCGGAAUUACUGGGCGUAAAGCGUGCGCAGGCGGUUGUGCAAGACCGAUGUGAAAGCCCCGGGCUCAACCUGGGAAUGGCAGUGGAAACUAGGGGACUGGAAUCUGGCAGAGGGGGGUGGAAUGCCGCGUGUAGCAGUGAAAUGCGUAGAGAUGCGGCGGAACACCGACGGCGAAGGCAGCCCCCUGGGCUGAGAUUGACGCUCAGGCACGAAAGCGUGGGGAGCAAACAGG
This 253-nucleotide ribosomal RNA is filed under the name uncultured bacterium. Its description in RNAcentral is "partial 16S ribosomal RNA". It matches the Rfam family "Bacterial small subunit ribosomal RNA", at positions 524 to 776 of the family's 1533-position model. The record is from RNAcentral.